RNAcentral lists this transfer RNA (74 nucleotides) under Flavobacterium sp. fv08. Its description in RNAcentral is "tRNA_Arg_TCT". It matches the Rfam family "tRNA". From Rfam's summary of the family: Transfer RNA (tRNA) molecules are approximately 80 nucleotides in length. Their secondary structure includes four short double-helical elements and three loops (D, anti-codon, and T loops). RNAcentral also lists the same sequence under 1 other name. The record is from RNAcentral. Lineage: Bacteria; Pseudomonadati; Bacteroidota; Flavobacteriia; Flavobacteriales; Flavobacteriaceae.
GAUUUUGUAGCUCAGCUGGAUAGAGCGUCUGUCUUCUAAGCAGAUGGUCGAAGGUUCGAAUCCUUACAAAAUCA